UACGUAAGGGGCAAGCGUUGUCCGGAAUCACUGGGCGUAAAGCGCACGUAGGCGGUGCAGCAAGUCAGGGGUGCAAGCUCCAGGCCUAACCUGGAAACUGCCUCUGAAACUACUGUGCUUGAGGGUCAGAGGGGAAACUGGAAUUCACGGUGUAGCGGUGAAAUGCGUAGAUAUCGUGGAGAACACCCGUGGCGAAGGCGGGUUUCUGGCUGACAACUGACGCUGAGGUGCGAAAGCUAGGGGAGCGAACGGG
RNAcentral lists this ribosomal RNA (253 nucleotides) under uncultured bacterium. RNAcentral describes it as "partial 16S ribosomal RNA". It matches the Rfam family "Bacterial small subunit ribosomal RNA", at positions 524 to 776 of the family's 1533-position model. The record is from RNAcentral.